RNAcentral lists this ribosomal RNA (206 nucleotides) under uncultured bacterium. Its description in RNAcentral is "partial 16S ribosomal RNA". It matches the Rfam family "Bacterial small subunit ribosomal RNA", at positions 568 to 774 of the family's 1533-position model. The record is from RNAcentral.
AGCGUAGGCGGACUUUUAAGUGAGAUGUGAAAUACCCGGGCUCAACUUGGGUGCUGCAUUUCAAACUGGAAGUCUAGAGUGCGGGAGAGGAGAAUGGAAUUCCUAGUGUAGCGGUGAAAUGCGUAGAGAUUAGGAAGAACACCAGUGGCGAAGGCGAUUCUCUGGACUGUAACUGACGCUGAGGCUCGAAAGCGUGGGAGCAAACA